Molecule: RNA transcript, 1408 nt
Organism: Xenia sp. Carnegie-2017
Lineage: Eukaryota; Metazoa; Cnidaria; Anthozoa; Malacalcyonacea; Xeniidae
Exons: 5
Source: RefSeq, a predicted model, not a curated record
AAGGAUAUAUGACCAUGGCAACACCGCUGGAGUUUGUAGCAGUCAUUCCAGGUUCUUAUUGCGUGUGAUUCUUGUCGCAGCUAGAAAUAUGAUGUCAAUUAAGACAUCUAUUUCAUCUAUGUUGUUGUAUUCAAUGGCACAACGUGUUUCCUUCAUGCACAGUAAAUUCUUAUUUGCCAGAACUAUCUUCUUUGUUCCCGUGUCAUCGGGGUCGAUAACACAACUUAGUCACAAAUAAUGGAGUGGUUUCAUGAUUCUCAUUCCAAUCGUUAAAAUGGUUGCUUUGAAACUUGAAAGUGUGCACGCAAGCAUAUUUUACAAAAUUCUUCAUACACAAGACAGCGUCUUCAGUAUUGACGUUUCAACGAGUAAUUUUGAAAAACAUCUAAUUAUUUAGAAUAAAUGAUAUUUUUGUAGUUCCAAUUUCUUUUGCUAUCAUGUGACAAUACAGUUAAAAACAUUAAUGCAUAUGAUUUCAAAUUUUGUUUCACAAUGUUGAUAUUCACAAUGUAGAAUAUAUAAUGAGUGAUUCUAUAUUGAAUGAGCACAGGUUUUGUUAUUUUAAUGACAUGCAAACAAUUUUGCCACCUAUAAAUGUGCAUUUUCAGUAUUUUGAUCUUAUUGAUUUUCGAAGUCAAACUUCGCCAUAAAAUUCAGAAUUUCGUUGCUGGAUAGUAGAUACUUUGGAAUUAUUGCCAUUUAAUCGAGUCGGCAUUUACGAAGAAUUUUAGGUUAGCUAUUCUGAAUAAUUUGAACUUUAACCACGACGUCCACGGGAAGAUCCGCGGUGCAGAACAACAACGUUCAACACAGUUAUUCAAACGAAUUGUGUUUGGUUAAAUUUUUGAUAAAGAAAUGGACAGUAUCAACUCUUCUCAAUUAAAGCCCAUACCAUCGUCUGAAAAUGAAAGAAUAAAAGAAUUAAAUGAGAUCAAAAUGAGUGGUGAAAAUGCAGAAAUAAAUCCCAGGGCGUCACUUCUUUAUUUUAUAACUUCAAGUAUGAAAAUCCAACGCCAUUCUAAAUCUGCAAUGAUAUUGCUUGUUGGAGGUAGUGGAUGUGGUAAAUCAUCAACAAUAAAUCAUUUACUGGACACUGGAGAUGGAAUUAGUGUUAUUGAGACAAGUGAUAACGAAUCAUCUACGAAAAAAACAUCUGAGUAUAUUAUUACUAUUGACGAACCCAAGUAUGAAGUGUCAGAGCGCCAACUGUAUUGAUAGAAAAUGAUCCUUAUGAUGAUUAUGAACUAGAAAAGAAAGGAGAAUUCACAAUUCUUCCCAAUGGUGAAAGACAACCUUUGAAUUUAUACAAAGCUUGCCUUGGCUUUCUCACAAAAAGCAAAGAUGGAAACGAUAUCACAGAUAAGUUUGGGCAUAUGGUGUUCAAUGCUGCAUUUACACGAAAGAAAAA